CACAGGGAGAGAAGGAGAAGCUGAUAUUGGGAAGGGGAAAGGAGAGUCGAGGCUAUGGAGAGGAGCCGCUGUGGGCGAGCAUCGCCUGCAGCCGAAGUAGCUCUGGUUCGGUCUCCGAGGGGUCCAGGGAGGGAUGCCAAAGUGGCUCAAGUGCUAUGCGCGGCUCAUGGAUACAGUGCCGGUGCUGGGUGCAGGAGGCAAAUAAGCCAUUACCUUGUCCGAUGCGUCCAUAUAAGACUUUGCCUGCCGCUCUCCUCCCUCUGCCCGCCGCUCUCCUCCCUCUGCCCGCUAUCCAGUAUGUGAUGUGGGUGACAAUGUUUCACGUUUUCACCAAGUCCCCGGCCGCAUCCUGGGUGGUCGGACCCGGGCAAACACAAAUACAAACCGAUUGCUAAGCUGCAGACAAUGGGGGAAAUGUAGACAAAUGUCCGGCUCCUGUUGGAAGCUUUUGUGCCGCUGCAGUUUUUGCAUUUAUUUCGGACCCCCAAAUAAUAGAUGAUUGACGCCCCGCGCACAAUGCUUUCUAACUGUUUGGAAUAAAUCUGAGCUUGUUCCUA
This is a long non-coding RNA of Syngnathus acus (greater pipefish), 557 nucleotides long. RefSeq lists it as uncharacterized. The record is from RefSeq and is a predicted model, not a curated record. NCBI's taxonomy places the organism in Eukaryota, Metazoa, Chordata, Actinopteri, Syngnathiformes, Syngnathidae. The transcript is spliced from 2 exons.